RNAcentral lists this long non-coding RNA (878 nucleotides) under Numida meleagris (helmeted guineafowl). RNAcentral's name for it is "lncRNA (ENSNMEG00000009502.1)". Lineage: Eukaryota; Metazoa; Chordata; Aves; Galliformes; Numididae. The record is from RNAcentral.
GCAAAGCCUGGUGCCAUCUGCCUUCAAUACACGGCAGACUCUUCCUGAUAGCACUGCUGCAUAGCAUCCUGCAGCUGACAACCAAUCUGAGUACCAAGAGUGGAAAAAGAGGUGGCCUGGGACUGCAGCACUGAAGAUCGGCAAUACUCUAUGAGCUCUUCUGCCAACAACAGCCCUGGUUUCUCAGUGCUGCUGCUCCUGGGGAGACACACAAGCUGUUAGCCUGACUUUGGCAACCCAGUGGCUGGAGCAAAGUGCAGUGUUUCUUGGGCUGCAGCCACAUCAUGGUCUGAUUGUGGGUAGUGAUAUCCCUCUGCAGAGGCAAGGCUGCUCAUAUCAGAGGCACUGAGAUCUGUCAGGGAGGUGCUGAGCCAGCAUGGGCACCAGCUGUCUUCUCUGGUGAGAACAGUGUCCAGAGGUACACACAGAAUGCUGAGGCAGAGAAAAACAGCACAGCAAGGAGGAAGGAUGCUGUCAAAUUGCCGCAGUUCUUGCUUCCAUGAGGCCAGUUGCUCUGAGCCAGAGUCUGGAUUCAUGACCCAAAGGAUGCAUGAGGAUCCCUAUUCAGAAAAUGCAAAGCAAUGUCUGAAUAGGAGACGAAUAGCAGAUAAGGCCUAAACCUUGCACUUCUGUGUGAAUAAUACUGAACUUCGCCAGCGGCAUGGCAGAGCCAUAUGCAUGGCAGCAACCUAAGGGAGAAAAAGGAAAGGAUAGACUUCUACUGAGAAGCAUCUGAAAGGAUUUCAUCACCAGAUACACUAUUGCUUUCUUCAUGCUUCAUUUCUUCACCAUGAAGAAAAAGGAAAAGAAAAGCACUGAGAGGCUUGGGGCUGAAAAUUCUUUCUGAUUCCUAAGAUAGCUUUCCUGUACAAAAAUUU